AAUUAAAAAAUGAAAAAUAUAAAAUGAAAAAAAUGAAAAAGAAGUUUUGCUGAUAUGAUAUCAAUAUAGAAUUUUUUCAUCUCUCAUAUUUGUCUUUUUUUAU
RNAcentral lists this non-coding RNA (103 nucleotides) under Pteridomonas danica. Lineage: Eukaryota; Dictyochophyceae; Pedinellales. The record is from RNAcentral.